This 253-nucleotide ribosomal RNA is filed under the name uncultured bacterium. RNAcentral describes it as "partial 16S ribosomal RNA". It matches the Rfam family "Bacterial small subunit ribosomal RNA", at positions 524 to 776 of the family's 1533-position model. The record is from RNAcentral.
UACGGAGGGAGCUAGCGUUACUCGGAAUCACUGGGCGUAAAGAGCAUGUAGGCGGAUUGAUAAGUUUGAAGUGAAAUCCUAUAGCUUAACUAUAGAACUGCUUUGAAAACUGUUGAUCUAGAAUGUGGGAGAGGUAGAUGGAAUUUCUGGUGUAGGGGUAAAAUCCGUAGAGAUCAGAAGGAAUACCGAUUGCGAAGGCGAUUUACUGGAACACAAUUGACGCUGAGAUGCGAAAGCGUGGGGAGCAAACAGG